AGAACCAACAGCAGGAAUGGAGCUUCCUGCCCAAUGCUGGGCUUUAGUCUCAGCUGCAUGGGUUCGAGUCCUCAGUCUAAUGUUCCCAUGGGCAAUGAGAGGGAAGUGACUUGGCCUCUCUGGACAUUUGCUUCCCUAGUAGCAGAACAUGGUUAAUAAUGCUCCACCCAUAAUUAUCUCCAGAAUUUAAAACCAGGCAUGGUCCUUGUGAAUAUACCACAGACCACUGAACUGUACACUUAAAAAUGGUGAAAGGCCAGGGGUUUAACUCAGUGGUGCCAAUGCCUGCCUCGAAAAUGCAAGGCCCUGAGUUCGAUCCCCGGUACCAAAAAAACCCCCAAAAUGGUGCUGUUUGUGGUGUGUGAAUAAUAUCUUUUUAAAGAAAUGUAAGUAUGUCGUGUUUGGUCCAGCUUUUUGAUAAUAAAACAGGGGUGCCAGGGAUUUAGCUCAGUGACACCGUGCUGGCUUCAAAAGCACAAGGACCCAAGUUUGAUCCCUAGUACCAAAAAGAAAAGUAAACAGGGGUGAUCACUGCUAGCAACAGAAUUUCCCAAGUGGCCCCACACCAGGCUGGCCACACAGCAGGUGAUGGAGAACAUAGCCCACAAGCAUGUUUUUCUGCUGGGCACAGUGGCACACGCCUAUAAUCCCAGCAUUUGGAGGCUGAGGCAGGAGGAUCGCCACAAGUUCAAGGCCAGCCUGGGCUACAUAGUGAGACUUUGUCUCAAAAAAAAAAAAAAAAGCAUAUUUUUCUGUGCCUAGCAUAUGAGGCUGGGGACCCAGAGGUUUCCAGUCCUCAGCACAAGCUGCCUGGUGUCUGUCUCACCAGAGGAUAGAAUGCUAGCCCCACCUUCACAGGAACAGAAGAUAACCUGGGACCUGAAGACUUGGAUGCUCCAAGGCAUGGCCACCCACUUCAGGCAUCUGACCUUAUGUUUUCUUUAUCCAGUCUUUUACAGAGCUGUGGUUUCAAACACAUUCAUAGCCAUGUUUUGGUGGCAGAACCGAGCUCGGCUGUUCCUGAGCCACGGAAAGCAGAACCGCUCGCCCGCGCCGCGCCGGAGGAACGCGUUCUGCUGUUCUUCUCCACUCCCCAGGGUGUGAUGUCUUGGGAAUCCACUUCCAACAGAACCCGUGGCCCAUCUGCCACAGGCGCGGCCCAGGGGCGCGAAGCUUCCGGCUCGGCCCCAGGC
Molecule: long non-coding RNA, 1193 nt
Filed under: Heterocephalus glaber (naked mole-rat)
Lineage: Eukaryota; Metazoa; Chordata; Mammalia; Rodentia; Bathyergidae
Description: lncRNA (ENSHGLG00000033314.1)
Source: RNAcentral